This 112-nucleotide ribosomal RNA is filed under the name Caerostris darwini. The record is from RNAcentral. Lineage: Eukaryota; Metazoa; Arthropoda; Arachnida; Araneae; Araneidae.
AACGGCCGUAACAUGCUGAAUAUAUCGGUUCUCGUUCGAUCACCGAAGUUAAGCAUCAUUGGGCGCGGUCAGUACUUGGGUGGGUGACCACCUGGGAACACUGCGUGCCGUU